UGGAAAUGUGUUUUAAAGUGUAUUUUGGACUAAAUUGAAUGAAUAGAUGAUUGAAUAAGUUAAUUUUGAAUAUAUUUAGAUCAAGAAAGGAGAAAUACGAACUUAGAUCGGGGAAAGAAUAAAGUUACGGAAUAGUUGACUCGAUUCGCCGUUUUAGCAUCUGAAGUAAGUUCGUAUGUUAUAAUUUCAUUUCAAAUGUAUUAAUAUGCU
RNAcentral lists this long non-coding RNA (210 nucleotides) under Gossypium barbadense (sea-island cotton). RNAcentral describes it as "long non-coding RNA (GBAR_LNC010204)". Lineage: Eukaryota; Viridiplantae; Streptophyta; Magnoliopsida; Malvales; Malvaceae. The record is from RNAcentral.